GGCCGGUUAGUUCAGUUGGUUAGAGCGUGGUGCUAAUAACGCCAAGGUCGUGGGUUCGAUCCCCAUAUUGGCCA
This is a transfer RNA of Gorilla gorilla gorilla (western lowland gorilla), 74 nucleotides long. It matches the Rfam family "tRNA". From Rfam's summary of the family: Transfer RNA (tRNA) molecules are approximately 80 nucleotides in length. Their secondary structure includes four short double-helical elements and three loops (D, anti-codon, and T loops). NCBI's taxonomy places the organism in Eukaryota, Metazoa, Chordata, Mammalia, Primates, Hominidae. The record is from Rfam.